This 295-nucleotide long non-coding RNA is filed under the name Eucalyptus grandis. RNAcentral's name for it is "long non-coding RNA (EGRA_LNC002115)". The record is from RNAcentral. Lineage: Eukaryota; Viridiplantae; Streptophyta; Magnoliopsida; Myrtales; Myrtaceae.
ACUGCUGUAUUUGGAAAUGGCCCUAAAGAAGCGAUUUUUCUCUCUCCUGCAGAAGCACCAGCGGCACAUGGACUCCUUAUGAAUGAAAGUGGGGACACAAAAGGACUCCACCAAUGGGUUUUCUUCUUUCGGCCGCGCGAGGUAAAAAACCGCAGGCGUACGCUCCUUGAAGAAUAAGAGCCGCGUUUCCAAGAGGGAUGACGUCCUUAUUUUUGCCGUAUGAGAAGACCUUGAACGCGCUAGUGAGUUUACGUUUAAAUUGGAUUGUUUAUUUAUGAAAAGUUACUUUAGCCCC